UGAGUACUCCCUCCAUCCUGAAUUACUUCUCGCAAAAAUGGAUGUCUCUAGAACUAAAAUACAUCUAGAUACAUCCACUUCCACGACAAGUAAUUCCGAACGGAGGGAGUACUAG
Non-coding RNA from Hordeum vulgare subsp. vulgare (domesticated barley), 115 nucleotides. The record is from Rfam. Lineage: Eukaryota; Viridiplantae; Streptophyta; Magnoliopsida; Poales; Poaceae.